UACGUAGGGUCCGAGCGUUGUCCGGAGUUACUGGGCGUAAAGCGCGCGCAGGCGGUCCGCGAGGUGUCACGUGAAAGCCCCGGGCUCAACUCGGGAGGGUCGUGGCAAACCGGCGGACUUGAGGCCGGUAGAGGUGGGUGGAACUCCUGGUGGAGUGGUGAAAUGCGUAGAGAUCAGGAAGAACACCCGUGGCGAAGGCGGCCCACUGGGCCGGAACUGACGCUGAGGCGCGAAGGCGUGGGGAGCGAACGGG
Molecule: ribosomal RNA, 253 nt
Filed under: uncultured bacterium
Lineage: Bacteria
Description: partial 16S ribosomal RNA
Rfam family: Bacterial small subunit ribosomal RNA
Source: RNAcentral